UACAGAGGGUGCGGGCGUUGUCCGGAAUCACUGGGCGUAAAGGGCGCGUAGGUGGUGGCUUAAGCGUGCGGUGAAAGCUCGGGGCUCAACCCCGAGUCGGCCGUGCGAACUGGGCUCACUGGAGCAUAGUAGAGGCAGGUGGAAUUCCGGGUGUAGCGGUGGAAUGCGUAGAGAUCCGGAAGAACACCGGUGGCGAAGGCGGCCUGCUGGGCUAUGGCUGACACUGAGGCGCGACAGCGUGGGGAGCAAACAGG
RNAcentral lists this ribosomal RNA (254 nucleotides) under uncultured bacterium. RNAcentral's name for it is "partial 16S ribosomal RNA". It matches the Rfam family "Bacterial small subunit ribosomal RNA", at positions 524 to 776 of the family's 1533-position model. The record is from RNAcentral.